UUAGUGUGACAGUGGAUUGACAGUGACAGUGGGAGAGAGUGGGGGACGACAUUCAGCAAAGAGCUGCAGGUCAGAUUCCAACCCGGACCGCUGCAAAGGACUCAGCCCACACGGGGCGCACG
Long non-coding RNA from Etheostoma spectabile (orangethroat darter), 122 nucleotides. RefSeq lists it as uncharacterized. The transcript has 3 exons. NCBI's taxonomy places the organism in Eukaryota, Metazoa, Chordata, Actinopteri, Perciformes, Percidae. The record is from RefSeq and is a predicted model, not a curated record.